GAUGAACGCUGGCGGCGUGCCUAAUACAUGCAAGUAGAACGCUGAAGGAGGAGCUUGCUCUUCUGGAUGAGUUGCGAACGGGUGAGUAACGCGUAGGUAACCUGCCUGGUAGCGGGGGAUAACUAUUGGAAACGAUAGCUAAUACCGCAUGACAACAGUUAUUGCAUGAUAACUGUUUAAAAGGGGCAACUGCUCCACUACCAGAUGGACCUGCGUUGUAUUAGCUAGUUGGUGAGGUAACGGCUCACCAAGGCGACGAUACAUAGCCGACCUGAGAGGGUGAUCGGCCACACUGGGACUGAGACACGGCCCAGACUCCUACGGGAGGCAGCAGUAGGGAAUCUGCGGCAAUGGACGGAAGUCUGACCGAGCAACGCCGCGUGAGUGAAGAAGGUUUUCGGAUCGUAAAGCUCUGUUGUAAGAGAAGAACGAGUGUGAGAGUGGAAAGUUCACACUGGGACGGUAUCUUACCAGAAAGGGACGGCUAACUACGG
This 494-nucleotide ribosomal RNA is filed under the name uncultured bacterium. Its description in RNAcentral is "partial 16S ribosomal RNA". It matches the Rfam family "Bacterial small subunit ribosomal RNA", at positions 28 to 506 of the family's 1533-position model. The record is from RNAcentral.